UCCCCUGGGGGUCCCCUCACCCCAUCCCCUUCCCCCCAUCCCCAUGGGAUGCCCCCCUUUUCCCGUCCCCAUGGGGUCCCCUCACCCUGUCCCCUUUCCCCCAUCCCCAUGGGGUCCCGUGGGGGUCCCGUGGGGUCCCCCCGCACCCGCUGACCCCGCGGCCCCGCAGAGGAGACGUACGAGCAGCUGGCCAUGGAGACGCUGGAGGAGCUGGACUGGUGCCUGGACCAGCUGGAGGCCGUGCAGCCGCACCGCUCCGUCAGCGAGAUGGCCUCCAACAAGGUGGGGGACGCGGGGACAUCGUGGGGACGCCGUGGGGACAUGGGGACAUGGGGACAUCGUGGGGACAUGGGGACGUCGUGGGGACACGGGGACGUUGUGGGGACAUCAUAGGGACAUGGGGACAUCAUGGGGACAUCAUGGGGACAUGAGGACAACAUGGGGACAUCACUGGGACACCAUGGGGACAUGGGGACAUCAUGGGGACAUCAUGGGGACAUCAUGGGAACAUGGGGACAUCAUGGGGACAUGGGGACACCAUGGGGACAUGGGGACACCGUGGGGACAUCAUGGGAACAUGGGGACAUCAUGGGGACAUGAGGACAACAUGGGGACAUCAUGGGGAUAUGGGGACACAGGAACGUCAUGGAGACAUGAGGACACCAUGGGGACAUGGGGACACCGUGGGGACAUGGGGACACCAUGGGGACAUCAUGGGGACAUGGGGACACCAUGGGGACAUGAGGACACCGUGGGGACAUCAUGGGGACACCAUGGGGACAUGGGGAUACCAUGGGGACAUGGGGACAUCAUGUGGACAUCAUGGGGACAUCAUGGGGACAUGGGGACAUCAUGGGAACACCAUGGGGACAUGGGGACACCAUGGGGACAUCAUGGGGACAUGGGGACAUCAUUGGGACAGGAAUGGGGACAGCUCCAUCAUGGGGACAUGGGGACACCAUGGGGACACCAUGGGGACAUGGGGAUGUGGGGACAUCAUGGGGACAUCAUGGGGACAUGGCUCCACCAUGGGGACAGGAAUGGGGACAGCUCCAUCAUGGGGACAUGGGGAUGGGGCCCCUGCUGCGCCAUGGGGACCGGGGGGGAACGGCUCCACCAUGGGGACGGGGACGGUGCCAUCGUGGGGACAGGGAUGGGGACAUGGCUCCGUCAUGGGGACAACUCUGUCAUGGGGACAGGGAUGGGGACGUGGUUCCACCAUGGGGACGUGGCUCCGUCACGAGGACAGGGAUGGGGACGUGGCUCCGCCAUAGGGACAGGGAUGGGGACGGGGAUGGGGACAGCUCCGUCAUGGGGACACAUCUGGGGACAUGGCUCCAUCAUGGGGACAUGGCUCCACUGUGGGGACAGGAAUGGGGAUGGCACCGUCAUGGGGACACAUCUGGGGACAUGGCUCCGCCGUAGGGACAUGGAUGGGGACAGCUCCGUCAUGGGGUCAGGGAUGGGGACAGGGAUGGGGACAGCUCCAUGUGCUUGGGGACAUGGCUCCGCCAUAGGGACAGGAAUGGGGACAGGGAUGGGGACGGCACCGUCAUGGGGACAGGGAUGGGGCCAUGGGGUUGGGGACAGGAACCUGUCACCUUUAUGGGGUCAGGGACUGGGACAGGAACCUGGCACCGCCGUGGGGACACGAAUGGGACGCAGCUGCUAUGGGGACGGGGACGGGACCCUGCUCCAUAUGGGGACAGGGAUGGGGACAGGACCCCCGUUGUGCUGUGGGGACGGGUCCCCAGCGCCGCUGUGGGGUCAGGGACAGGGCUUUGGGGUCAGGAACGGGGUUUUGGGGACAGGGACAAGGCUUUGGGGUCAGGGAUGGGACUUUGGGGUCAGGGACAGGUCUUUGGGGUCAGGGAUGGGACUUUGGGGACAGGGACAAGGUUUUGGGGUCAGGGCCGGGGCUUUGGGGUCAGUGUCCGGGGCUGCUCGGGUGCGUGGUCCCCAGGGUGACCCUUGGGGUCCCCACCCCAUUUCUGGGUGGCCCUUGGGGGUCCCCA
RNAcentral lists this long non-coding RNA (2015 nucleotides) under Anas platyrhynchos platyrhynchos (common mallard). RNAcentral's name for it is "lncRNA (ENSAPLG00000017295.1)". The record is from RNAcentral. Lineage: Eukaryota; Metazoa; Chordata; Aves; Anseriformes; Anatidae.